Molecule: long non-coding RNA, 2723 nt
Organism: Polypterus senegalus (gray bichir)
Lineage: Eukaryota; Metazoa; Chordata; Cladistia; Polypteriformes; Polypteridae
Exons: 11
Source: RefSeq, a predicted model, not a curated record
GGUGGCACAAAUAAAAUUAAUGAAGAUUUAUUCACUUCUUGUCAGACUGCCUGGAUAUGAUAUCUUCAAUACGUUUUCUUGAUGGAUUCAUUGAAGAAACAUUUUUGCCAUGUGUUGCUUAUUUAAGCAGUAUGAACAUGUGAAAGACAUGGCAGCCUUCCACAUCUCAUCUCUUUAUUUGCACCUUUUCCAAACAAGGUGCCCUUGACAAACAUUGACAGGUUUGAUGAAGAAGUCUUCAGUUUUCUUACACAAUAUCAUCGAGACAAUGUCACAAUUCCACAGGAUAAAGAAGCUUUACAACAACUUUGGUUAUUCAUAUUCAGAAGUCUUUUGGAGACUGAAAGAAAGAAUCGGAUAAGCUACACUUGGUAUUAUAAAUGUACCAUGGACUAUGGAAACCAGGAGGACUUCACUGAAUUGUUGAGGCUCACAAAAAUGAAGUCCAUGUGGUCACAGACUGGACAAAGAAGACAUUGAAGACAAUGAGUGACUUUAUAAAAUGCUCCUCAAAUAAAGUCAACUUAGUAAUGAAAUACGAUGACACAAAUGAUAGAUUUAUUCAUGUCUUUUCAGACUGUCUGGAUGGGAUAUCUUCAAUACGUUUUCCAGAUGGCUUCAAUGAAGAUACAUUUUGGGACAUGUGUCAUUUAUUUAAGCAGUAUGAAAAAUGAAACAAGAUGACAGUCUUCCAUGCCUCAUCUCUUUAUUUGCACCCUUUCCAAAGACAGUGCCUUUGACAAACAUCAAGAAAGUCAAAAGUUCAGUUUUCUGAGACGAUAUCGUCAGGACAAUGUUACAGAUCCACAGCAGAAAGAAGCAUUACAAGAACUUUGGCAAUUCAUAUCCAGCAGUCUUUGGGAGGCUGUAAGAGAGAAAUAUCAAAGUUACACUUGGUAUUUUAAAUUUACUGUGGACUGUGAAACCAGAAGGACUUCAGUGAAUCAUUGAGGCUCAGAAAUAAUGAAAUUCAUAUGGAGACACUCUGGAAAAAGAAGACACUGAACAGAAUGAGUGACUUUAUAAAAUGCUCCUCAAGUAAAGUCAAGUUGGUAAUUAAGUACAAUGACAAAAGGAAAAAUUUGUUCACUUUUUAUCAGACUGCCUCGAUGGGAUAUCUUCAAUACGUUUUCAAGAUGGUUUUAAUGAAAAACAUUUUGGACCUUGUUUCAUUUAUUUAAGCAGUUUGAAGAAGUGAAAGGACACAGCAGUCUUCCUCACCUCAUCUCUUUAUUUACACCUUUGCAAGCAAGGUGCCCUUGACAAACAUCGAGAGGAUUUAUAAAAGUGACUUCAAUGAUUUCCGUUUUCUGAGACGAUAUCGUCAGGACAAAGUCACAGUUCCACAGCACAAAGAGGCUUUACAACAACUUCGGUUAUUCAUGUUCAGAAGUCUUUGGAGACUGAAAGAAGGGAACAACUAAGCUACACCUGGCAUUAUAAAUGUAUUGUGGACUGUGGAAGCUAGAAGGACUUCAAUGAAUCAUUGAACCUAACAUAUAUUGAAGUCCACGUGGAUCCAGAUUGGACAGAGGAGACACUAAAGACCAUGAGUAACUUUAUAAAAUUCUCCUCAAGUAAAGUUGACAUCAUAGUGGACUGCGGUGGUGCAAAUGAAAUUAAUGAAAGAUUUGUUCACUUCUUGUCAGACUGCCUAAAUAUGAUAUCUUCAAUACGUUUUCUAGAAGGAUUUAAUGAAAAAAACUUUUGGGCCAUGUGCGUUUAUUCAAGCAGUAUGAAGACAUGAAAGGACACAGCAGCCUUCCACGACUCAUCUCUUUAUUUGAACCUUUUCCAAAUGAUGUGCUUUUGACAAAUAUUGAGAGGACUGACUUCAGUUUUCUUACACGAUAUCGUCAGGACAACAUCACUGUUUCAUGGCACAAAGAAGCUUUACAACAACUUCGGUUAUGCAUAUUCAGAAGUCUUUGGGGGUUGUAAGAGAGAAUCGGAUAAGAUAUUUUAAAUGUAUUGUGGACUGUGGAAACCAAAAGGACUUCACUGAAUCAUUGAAGCUGAGCAAUAGUAAAGUCCACGUGGACCCAGACUGGACAGAGGAGAUACUGAAGACCAUGAGUAACUUUAUAAAAUGCUCCUCAAGUAAAGUUGGCAUCAUAGUGCACUGCGGUGGCACAAAUGAAAUUAAUGAAAGAUUUGUUCACUUCUUGUCAGACUGCCUGGAUAUGAUAUCUUCAAUACGUUUUCAAAAGGGUUUCAAUGAAGGAAGGUUUUGGGCUAUGUGUCAUUUAUUUAAGCAGUAUGAAGAACUGAAUGGACACAACAGCCUUCCAUGCCUCAUCUCUUUAUUUGCACCCUUUCCAAACAAAAUGCCCUUGACAAACACCAAGAAAUUCAAAAGUUCAGUUUUCUUACACAGUAUCAUCAGGACAAUGUCACAGUUCCACAGCACAAAGAAGCUUUACAACAACUUUGGCGAUUCUUAUUCAGCAGUCUCAUGGAGGAUGAAAGAGGGAUCAGAUAAGCUUCACUUGGUAUUUUAAAUGUAUUGUGGACUGUGGAAACCAGGAGGACUUCACUGAAUCAUUGAAGCUGAGCAAUAGUAAGCGUUCACGUGGACCCAGACUGGACAGAGGAGAUACUGAAGACCAUGAGCAACUUUAUAAAAUGCUCCUCAAGUAAGGUUGACAUCAUAGUGGACUUCGUGGCACAAAUGAAGUUAAUGAAAAAUUUGUUCACUUCUUGUCAGACUGCCUGGAUAUGAU